Molecule: long non-coding RNA, 2710 nt
Filed under: Canis lupus familiaris (dog)
Lineage: Eukaryota; Metazoa; Chordata; Mammalia; Carnivora; Canidae
Description: lncRNA (ENSCAFG00000052480.1, ENSCAFG00805016596.1, ENSCAFG00845023724.1)
Source: RNAcentral
AAUUCAGUAAAUUGCAUUUUAAAAAUCUCGUUAUAAACUAUUUGAGCUUUAAGAAAGGUGCUAUUUAAGAAAGGAUUUCUAAUAACAACAGCAAAAACCCAUGCUAAGUAAAAAUACUUAUUACAUGUUGUCUGAUUGCAAAGCUUUACUAAGAAUUAUAGACAAGUAACCAUAGGGGAAAAGUAAUUUCUAUAAGUAGUAUUCUGUUGUGGUUUUCAAAAGAGCAACUCCAUUCUAAGCAUUUAUAGACAUUUAAAAACUUAGUUUUUACAGUAGAACAGAUAUAGUGAAGAAAUUGAAAGAUGACAAUCAGGUAGAUUUUAUUUUCAGAAUACAAAAAACAUUUAGAAAAUAAUUAAACAGCAUUAACUCUGUCGUCUGCCUUUGCAUCAGAAUAGCACAUAGCUCAAACAGUCCUUUUAUUACAUUUUUUUUUUAGUUUUACUACAUUUUUAAUAGUUGUGUCACCUUUAGCUUUUAUUUUGAAUAUCCUCUUUCCAGAAAGACGGCUCUUUCUUUCCUGUCAAAUUGAUUUUAUAGUUCUGUCUGAGCUUAUGGUUUACCUCAAACUAUCUUUGACUUGAUAUCCUCUAAAGAUAUUUAAUAGGUUUAUUCUAUUGUUUGGCAAGUUCUGAGAAUUUUUUUCAUGAUUAUUUCAUUCUUUUUGGGGGGUAAACCAUCUGCCACAGAAAUUGACACUACAGAGAGAUUAAUGUUCAGUAGAGAAUCUGCUGGAUUGCUUUAAAAUAUUUUUAAAUCACAGUUAAUGAGUUCAUAGAGCAUUGUAUUUUCUAAUAGAGUACCUUAAAGCCCUCACAGAAGUUUCAAAGAAUGUGUCUGAUAAAUCUUUGUACAAGUAUGAUACUGAUUCAUAUUGGCUUUGCUGAAUGGCCUUUGAUUCUUGUACCCGGUAGAAGGUAUUAAACUGAAAAGUGAACAUUUCUUAAUAAUGUAGAAAGGAACACAUUGGGUUUCGGUAUUUUGAGUAGUGAUGUUAAAGGACAAUUCUAAUUUGUUUUCACGUUAGUAUAUGGAACAAGUUAGUAUGGGUUUUUUUAGUAUCUCACUGUGCUUUACUCCAGGUAGCAAUUUUUUUUCAUCACAAUUUGAAUCUUUUAUAGUAAAUUCCCAUAGUAACUUGUUCCCUUUACCUUCACCAGAAGGUACUUUAAAUAUACAUGAUAUAUAGUUGAUUGUUAUAAAAGUACAUAAAAUGGGUAAUUUCCUGUCUUCUGGUUAUGCUUAUUGUAAUUAUUCAGUUUAGUAUUCAUACAUUUACAGAUGAAUAAACUCCAAGGAUUAUAGAUUUAUAACCUGUUUAUUGUGAAAAGUUUUGUUGCAAUAGUUAAAAAUUAAACUCUAGGAAGUGCAGCAUUGACUGACACCUACCCAUAGUGGGUUUCCCAGCUACCUUUAAAGGCUUCAGACAUGCAAACUCUGGCCUGUGGUAUGAUACAAGAAGUAAAUAUUAAAAGAAAAAUCACAUAAAUAAAAGUCCAUCAGCAAGGUUGGAGAAGGGAUUGUUGAGGGGUUUUGUCUUCAGGUAUAGGAGGAGUUGUGGGGUUAAGUUGUGUUUCUGCCUUUUUUUUUUUUUUUAAAGCAAAGUCCUGUGUUACCAAAAGCCCAUGCUGUGUAUUUUGUUUUUUGUGUGUUUCUAGUACUUUGAAGGAUUGAUAAAUGAAUUGGAUAUUUGUAUGUGGGGAUGUUAAAAGUUGUGGCUGCUCUCUUUGUGGAAGGGAUAAAUUCAAAUGAAGUUAAUGCACUUCUUUUCCUAGCUCAAAAGUCACUGUGAUGUAUAUUUUUUUAAUGAAAUUUAGGAAUAAAGUUGUUGUCACAAUUAUAUAAUUAGUUUCAAAAUGCUGCUUCUUUUAUCAUUAGUCUAGUAACUGUUAAAACUGUUUUCUGCAAACUGCAUUUUACAGAAUUUAAACUCUGAAACUAUCAACUUUUAUAGUUAAACAUUAAAUAAACUAUAACAGUUUGUUUUGUAUUUUUAAAAUUACUGUUGUAUUAGUUAUUCAACCUUUAUUUUUGUUAAAAGCUAAAUAAUGAAGAUAAAUCAACUAAAAUAUACUUUUAUUUUACCCAUGGGGAUAUAGAAUUUGUAUUAGGAAAAACUGAGCAAAGAGUUUUAACAAUACUGAGCUGCUUUAAGAAUUUAGUCAGCAGUGAUGAUUUCCAGAAGGUUUGGAGAUAAAAUUCUAAUGUAAAUGUUUAAUCAUAAUGCUUCAGAUUACAAUGUGUCUUUUGCCUCAGCAAACUUAAGGUUAGAUUUGGAAUUUGCAUUAUUGUCUACUGGAAUGCUACCAUUUGCUUUUUAAUUCCUCCAAAUUUCUCAGCAUUGGGAACACUGUAUUAUAUCCUGUGCUUGCCAGUUUUAAUAUAACACUUAACAUUGUAAAGCCAUAUCGAUGUUAAUUGACUUGUAAAAGAUUGUCUAGUUUUGGUUUCUUGUUUGGUUUCAUUUUUAUUUAAAUUAGAUAUAUUUAGGGAAAAUGCACCAACUUGAAAGUUAGUCACUGAAAGUAAUAUAUGGUUAGAUAAAAAUGUUCUGACCAUUCAGUGGUUUGUAUGUGUUAACAGGUAAUACUAAAUUCUCGAAUUUUGGAGUGUUUUUAAAUGCUUUAUUUAGCCAGGAGAAUAUGUAAAAUGUGAGUGCUUCAUAUGAACUGUGUAAAUUACUUGUGUAUUAAAAUACUUUUAGUAUCAA